Molecule: long non-coding RNA, 810 nt
Filed under: Nicotiana benthamiana
Lineage: Eukaryota; Viridiplantae; Streptophyta; Magnoliopsida; Solanales; Solanaceae
Description: long non-coding RNA (NBEN_LNC022464)
Source: RNAcentral
AUGAACUUCUCGAAUUCUCUUCCUCUUCCUUAAAUUUAUUCUACUUGCAAGUACAAUUUUAAUCAAUUUUGCCCAUUAUUUUUGCUAAACAUCUGAUAUGAAAAACAAUCCCUUCCUCUUCAACUUCAAUUUUGUGAUUUCGUCUUUAUAUUUGUUUCUCCUUAUUUUGCCUUUUUAAUCAGUUUCACCCAUCAUGCAAUUUUUUUUGUUGAGAUUCUCAGUUCAUUGAUAAUACUGGUUCGGGGUUUAAGUCUAAAUUGAAAGAAAUUUUUUUGGGUGCAGUGUUACAGUGCUUACUCAAGUUUCAACAGCUCUGUUCAUACUUCUUUUGUGCCCUCUCCAACUUCGAGUUUUGUAAUUCUGUAUUUGUUUCUCAUUUUUUUUCUCGUUCAAUUAGUUUUAACCCACAUGUAAAUUUCAGUCCGUUGAUGAUAUUGUUAUAGGUAUUAAGCUUAACUGUUGGCCCAAGUUUCAGAUUGAGUUUUAAAGAUUGACAAAUGAACCUCUGAAAGGACCUGGUUCAUCUUGUACUACACGGUGUGAAUUAACCAAGACACAUGUGAAGCACUUGAGGAAGAUAUGCACUAAAGAUUGCGAAUCAAUAUCUUCUUAACGUAAUCGAAAAUGUUGUAUUUGGGAUAAGGAGGACAGUCACGUUAUGUGAAGAGAACUUGAUUCUAAGUUAGGAUAAGAGUUAGAGUUUGUAUUGGCUAAAGAUUUAAAUGGAUUACGGAAAGAAGUGGAGUUGUAAUCAAACUCUAACUAUUAACUCAAUAUAUUAUUGUGUUGGCUCUCCUUUACAGGUAAUAC